GGUGAAGUCGGGCGCUCAGCGGGACACUGUACUGUCCUGUGCUGGGUGGUGCUGGGCCUCCCAGAGCGGCCUGAACCCUUCUUUUUGCUUGCGUUGUUGAAGGAAGGCAAGUCUACGGAUAGGAAUGAGUGAGGCACAGUUCCCUGAGGAUGCCAUAACUUACCCGUUUCUUGUGUAUUAAGUGACAUCACGUGUUACCAAACUAAACCGGCUGCAUUUGCCUGCGCACAACGUAAAACCAAACACCCAAGCAUUGGAUUUUUGUAGCAAGAAAGAUGUAUUGCCAAGCAGCCUUGCAAGGAGACAGAAGAUGGGCUGAAGUCUGGCUCCCAAUACUUGCUUCACAGCAGUAGAUUUAAGGGAGAGAUUUUGGAAUUGGAGUUUCGGGCUGGGCAGUGAUUGGCUGAAACGAAGAAACGUUUAGAAAAUCUCUUGGCCAUGAGCUGUUGCUUCUUCAUGCUGCUUCAAGGAUCACAUGCAGAUUCAGGAGUUGGUUUAAAACAAGCUCUGGAAAUCCGGGCUGUGACAUCAAAGGGCCGCUCCUCGGGCUAACUUCCCAAGUUCACUGUGUUACCAAAAAGCAAGACCUGCCUUCUGCUCCAUCACCCCGGCUGUCACCCAACUUGGAUUCAAUCCCAGCACUGACACAUCACAAAAUCACAAAAGUGAGCAAACCAUUACCUCCCUGAGUCUCCUUUUAUCUAUAAAACUAGAAAAAUAUACUUUCCAUAGGAAUGUUGUUGAGAAUAAUAAAACAUUAUGUUACAAGUUCUAGUCAUUGCUGAUGUUUAACAGGUAACAGUGAUAAUUAUUUGUCUUCUCAUUAAUGAAAAAUAGAUUAUUAAUCAUAGUGGGUUGAAGGCAUCUAUGGGAAGUAGAGAUUUGAAGAUAGGCUAAAACCCAAGUAAGGCCUCUAGAUUAGAUAAUAGUAUUGUAUCUAUUUUAAUUUCCUGCUUUCAAUCACUGUGCCAUGGUUAUAUAAGAGAAGUCUUUGUUUAUAGGAAAUAUACACAAGAAUUUAGAAGUAAA
Long non-coding RNA from Macaca mulatta (Rhesus monkey), 1029 nucleotides. RefSeq lists it as uncharacterized. Lineage: Eukaryota; Metazoa; Chordata; Mammalia; Primates; Cercopithecidae. The record is from RefSeq and is a predicted model, not a curated record.